Molecule: ribosomal RNA, 326 nt
Filed under: uncultured eukaryote
Lineage: Eukaryota
Description: partial 18S ribosomal RNA
Rfam family: Eukaryotic small subunit ribosomal RNA
Source: RNAcentral
CCCUUAGAUGUUCUGGGCUGCACGCGCGCUACACUGUUGCAUUCAGCGAGUUUUAACCAAGGCCGAAAGGUCAAGGUAAUCUUUGAAAGUGCAACGUGCUUGGGCUAGAUGAUUGCAAUUAUUCAUCUUAAACGAGGAAUGCCUAGUAAACGCAUGUCAUCAGCGUGCAUUGAUUACGUCCCUGCCCUUUGUACACACCGCCCGUCGCUCCUACCGAUUGGGUGUGCUGGUGAAAUGUUCGGAUCGGCCGUUUGUCGCGGUUUCCGCGUCAUGUGGCUGAGAAGUUCAUUAAACCCUCCCACCUAGAGGAAGGAGAAGUCGUAACA